Molecule: ribosomal RNA, 253 nt
Filed under: uncultured bacterium
Lineage: Bacteria
Description: partial 16S ribosomal RNA
Rfam family: Bacterial small subunit ribosomal RNA
Source: RNAcentral
UACAGAGGGUGCAAGCGUUGUUCGGAAUUAUUGGGCGUAAAGGGAGUGUAGGCGGCUUGUUAAGUCUUCUGUGAAAUCUACGGGCUCAGCCUGUAAAGUGCAGAGGAAACUGGCGAGCUUGAGUGUCGGAGAGGAUAGGGGAAUACCCGGUGUAGAGGUGAAAUUCGUAGAGAUCGGGUGGAACACCAGUGGCGAAGGCGCCUAUCUGGCUGACAACUGACGCUGAGACUCGAAAGCAUGGGGAGCAAACAGG